GGUCUUAUAGCUUAGUUGGUUAGAGUGUUGGUCUUAUGAGCUAAAGGUUGUGGGUUCAAACCUUGCUAAGACCA
Transfer RNA from Ipomoea nil (Japanese morning glory), 74 nucleotides. It matches the Rfam family "tRNA". Rfam says of the family: Transfer RNA (tRNA) molecules are approximately 80 nucleotides in length. Their secondary structure includes four short double-helical elements and three loops (D, anti-codon, and T loops). The record is from Rfam. NCBI's taxonomy places the organism in Eukaryota, Viridiplantae, Streptophyta, Magnoliopsida, Solanales, Convolvulaceae.